This is a non-coding RNA of Capsicum annuum, 196 nucleotides long. Lineage: Eukaryota; Viridiplantae; Streptophyta; Magnoliopsida; Solanales; Solanaceae. The record is from Rfam.
AUACCUUUCUCGGCCUUUUGGCUAAGAUCAAGUGUAGUAUCUGUUCUUAUCAGUUUAAUAUCUGAUAUGUGGACUAUAGGUCCACAUGAUAUUAACUCUAUUUUUUGAGGGGGAAGGCUCAUUAAGGUAGCUUGCUGCCUGGUCCUUCAAGCGUAGCCUAAGCGUUGCACUACAGCUUUGUCCUGGCGCACCCCAC